RNAcentral lists this ribosomal RNA (492 nucleotides) under Centipeda noxia. RNAcentral describes it as "bacterial SSU rRNA". It matches the Rfam family "Bacterial small subunit ribosomal RNA", at positions 28 to 494 of the family's 1533-position model. Lineage: Bacteria; Bacillati; Bacillota; Negativicutes; Selenomonadales; Selenomonadaceae. The record is from RNAcentral.
GACGAACGCUGGCGGCGUGCUUAACACAUGCAAGUCGAACGGAGCGAAAGAAAGCUUGCUUUUAUAAGCUUAGUGGCAAACGGGUGAGUAACACGUAGGCAACCUGCCGACAGGAUGGGGACAACAUUCCGAAAGGAAUGCUAAUACCGAAUGAAGUGCAGGGGAGGCAUCUCCCCUGCAUGAAAGAUGGCCUCUAUAUAUAAGCUAUCACCUGUCGAUGGGCCUGCGUCUGAUUAGCUGGUAGGUGAGGUAACGGCUCACCUAGGCGACGAUCAGUAGCCGGUCUGAGAGGAUGAACGGCCACAUUGGGACUGAGACACGGCCCAGACUCCUACGGGAGGCAGCAGUGGGGAAUCUUCCGCAAUGGGCGCAAGCCUGACGGAGCAACGCCGCGUGAGUGAAGAAGGUCUUCGGAUCGUAAAGCUCUGUUGAUGGGGACGAACGUGCCUAAUGCGAAUAGUUUAGGCAAUGACGUACCCAUCGAGGAGCCAC